AAGUCGUAACAAGGUGUGCGGAAAGGAUCAUUAACACGUGUGAAUUUUCAGCUUGCUCCUGUAGCCCGUGAAAGCAGCAUCGGGACCUCUGCAGAUUGUGAUAUUUUAUAGCUACGGUUGAGCGAUUGUGUAAGGAUGGCGCAGUCACGAUCGCUGUAGGCCCACACGGCCGGCGACCGGGUCAACCGGGCUCUGCAACUUCGCCGCGCGUGAAAUUCGCACGGCACCAAAGACCGAACUUCUUG
This 245-nucleotide unclassified non-coding RNA is filed under the name fungal sp. Its description in RNAcentral is "partial internal transcribed spacer region". The record is from RNAcentral. Lineage: Eukaryota; Fungi.